AAACCAACAGGGAUUGCCUUAGUAGCGGCGAGUGAAGCGGCAAAAGCUCAAAUUUGAAAUCUGGCUCUUUCAGAGUCCGAGUUGUAAUUUGAAGAAGGUAUCUUUGGGUCUGGCUCUUGUCUAUGUUUCUUGGAACAGAACGUCACAGAGGGUGAGAAUCCCGUGCGAUGAGAUGAUCCAGGCCUAUGUAAAGUUCCUUCGAAGAGUCGAGUUGUUUGGGAAUGCAGCUCUAAGUGGGUGGUAAAUUCCAUCUAAAGCUAAAUAUUGGCGAGAGACCGAUAGCGAACAAGUACAGUGAUGGAAAGAUGAAAAGAACUUUGAAAAGAGAGUGAAAAAGUACGUGAAAUUGUUGAAAGGGAAGGGCUUGAGAUCAGACUUGGUAUUUUGUAUGUUACUUCUUCGGGGGUGGCCUCUACAGUUUAUCGGGCCAGCAUCAGUUUGGGCGGUAGGAGAAUUGCGUUGGAAUGUGGCACGGCUUCGGUUGUGUGUUAUAGCCUUCGUCGAUACUGCCAGCCUAGACUGAGGACUGCGGUUUAUACCUAGGAUGUUGGCAUAAUGAUCUUAAGUCACCCGUCUUGAACCCGGGGAA
Molecule: ribosomal RNA, 589 nt
Filed under: Candida tropicalis
Lineage: Eukaryota; Fungi; Ascomycota; Pichiomycetes; Serinales; Debaryomycetaceae
Description: partial large subunit ribosomal RNA
Rfam family: Eukaryotic large subunit ribosomal RNA
Source: RNAcentral